AAAUAAUAACAUUAAUAUGUCAUGUUAAAAUUGUUAGAAUAAUCUAAUACUUUUUGAUUCCA
RNAcentral lists this transfer RNA (62 nucleotides) under Myrmeleon formicarius. RNAcentral's name for it is "tRNA-Asp". Lineage: Eukaryota; Metazoa; Arthropoda; Insecta; Neuroptera; Myrmeleontidae. The record is from RNAcentral.